UACGUAGGGUGCGAGCGUUAAUCGGAAUUACUGGGCGUAAAGCGUGCGCAGGCGGUUAUGCAAGACAGAGGUGAAAUCCCCGGGCUUAACCUGGGAACUGCAUUUGUGACUGCAUCGCUGGAGUGCGGCAGAGGGGGAUGGAAUUCCGCGUGUAGCAGUGAAAUGCGUAGAUAUGCGGAGGAACACCGAUGGCGAAGGCAAUCCCCUGGGCCUGCACUGACGCUCAUGCACGAAAGCGUGGGGAGCAAACAGG
RNAcentral lists this ribosomal RNA (253 nucleotides) under uncultured bacterium. RNAcentral describes it as "partial 16S ribosomal RNA". It matches the Rfam family "Bacterial small subunit ribosomal RNA", at positions 524 to 776 of the family's 1533-position model. The record is from RNAcentral.